RNAcentral lists this ribosomal RNA (492 nucleotides) under uncultured bacterium. RNAcentral describes it as "partial 16S ribosomal RNA". It matches the Rfam family "Bacterial small subunit ribosomal RNA", at positions 29 to 507 of the family's 1533-position model. The record is from RNAcentral.
AGUGAACGCUGGCGGUAGGCCUAACACAUGCAAGUCGAACGGCAGCACAGUAAGAGCUUGCUCUUACGGGUGGCGAGAGGCGGACGGGUGAGGAAUAUAUCGGAAUCUACUUUUUCGUGGGGGUUAACGUAGGGAAACCUACGCUAAUACCGCAUACGACCUACGGGUGAAAGCAGGGGAUCUUCGGACCUUGCGCGAUUGAAUGAGCCGAUGUCGGAUUAGCUAGUUGGCGGGGUAAAGGCCCACCAAGGCGACGAUCCGUAGCUGGUCUGAGAGGAUGGUCGGCCACACUGGAACUGAGACACGGUCCAGACUCCUACGGGAGGCAGCAGUGGGGAAUAUUGGACAAUGGGCGCAAGCCUGAUCCAGCCAUACCGCGUGGGUGAAGAAGGCCUUCGGGUUGUAAAGCCCUUUUGUUGGGAAAGAAAAGCAGCAGGUUAAUACCCCGCUGUUCUGACGGUACCCAAUGAAUAAGCACCGGCUAACUUCGUG